This 466-nucleotide ribosomal RNA is filed under the name uncultured Aeromonadaceae bacterium. RNAcentral describes it as "bacterial SSU rRNA". It matches the Rfam family "Bacterial small subunit ribosomal RNA", at positions 337 to 795 of the family's 1533-position model. The record is from RNAcentral. Lineage: Bacteria; Pseudomonadati; Pseudomonadota; Gammaproteobacteria; Aeromonadales; Aeromonadaceae.
CCCUACGGGUGGCUGCAGUGGGGAAUAUUGCACAAUGGGGGAAACCCUGAUGCAGCCAUGCCGCGUGUGUGAAGAAGGCCUUCGGGUUGUAAAGCACUUUCAGCGAGGAGGAAAGGUCAGUAGCUAAUAUCUGCUGGCUGUGACGUUACUCGCAGAAGAAGCACCGGCUAACUCCGUGCCAGCAGCCGCGGUAAUACGGAGGGUGCAAGCGUUAAUCGGAAUUACUGGGCGUAAAGCGCACGCAGGCGGUUGGAUAAGUUAGAUGUGAAAGCCCCGGGCUCAACCUGGGAAUUGCAUUUAAAACUGUCCAGCUAGAGUCUUGUAGAGGGGGGUAGAAUUCCAGGUGUAGCGGUGAAAUGCGUAGAGAUCUGGAGGAAUACCGGUGGCGAAGGCGGCCCCCUGGACAAAGACUGACGCUCAGGUGCGAAAGCGUGGGGAGCAAACAGGAUUAGAUACCCCUGUAGUC